Frieseomelitta varia is the source of this 610-nucleotide long non-coding RNA. RefSeq lists it as uncharacterized. Lineage: Eukaryota; Metazoa; Arthropoda; Insecta; Hymenoptera; Apidae. The record is from RefSeq and is a predicted model, not a curated record. The transcript has 2 exons.
UAUGUAAUAAAUAAAUACAUAUAAUACUUAAGUAUUUCUUUUUUUUACUAUUUAUCAAUUAAAUAUUUUGCAAGGAUUGUCUAAAAAGCACAGAUAAGUUUAAGAUAAUGAAUACACAUUGCAUACAAUCAUUAAUAGGACUAAAAAUAGAAUAGACCGGACAUUAAAUGGGGCUUUGUGUCUCUUUGAAAUACCGACCAGGUAAAAUAUCACUGGUUUUUUAGCGCACUCUGGGCUUAAACAACAGUGAAUUGGAGAAUACGUUAAACAAAAUGGUACAAGUUGGUGAGGAAAAUGAUAUCCGCACAGACGAGCGCACUCUACGUUUUUAAACAAUAGUAAGUUGGGGAACUAGUGAAUGCGCCAGCAACACGAUUUUUUAAACCGAUUACAGUGUUGUUAAACUUUCAAUACCGAAAUGUAAAGCUAGUAACUGACUGAAAUCAUUCUAUUGUAUAUCAGAAAGAGCUCUAUCCAAGUUUUAGGGAUUUAUUACAAUUUCUUCCAAUAUAUAGUAAAUUAAAACUAUAAAAUUGUUAAUACAUGGUUUGAUGUAUAAAUGAUUUAUGUUGUAUUAAACAUUCUUAAAUACAAUUUUUAACUAACUAAA